GACAGAGGGUGCAAACGUUGUUCGGAUUUACUGGGCGUAAAGCGCGUGUAGGCGGCUUUGCAAGUCGGAUGUGAAAGCCCACGGCUCAACCGUGGAAGUGCAUCCGAAACUGCAUGGCUCGAGUCUCGGAGAGGAAGGUGGAAUGCUUGGUGUAGAGGUGAAAUUCGUAGAUAUCAAGCAGAACACCUGCGGCGAAGGCGGCCUUCUGGACGAUGACCGACGCUGAGACGCGAAAGCGUGGGGAGCAAACAGG
This 253-nucleotide ribosomal RNA is filed under the name uncultured bacterium. RNAcentral describes it as "partial 16S ribosomal RNA". It matches the Rfam family "Bacterial small subunit ribosomal RNA", at positions 524 to 776 of the family's 1533-position model. The record is from RNAcentral.